UAGGUGUUGAAGAAAAUUAAC
Molecule: non-coding RNA, 21 nt
Filed under: Caenorhabditis elegans
Lineage: Eukaryota; Metazoa; Nematoda; Chromadorea; Rhabditida; Rhabditidae
Source: RNAcentral